CUACGGGGUGCUGCAGUGAGGAAUAUUGCACAAUGGGGGGAACCCUGAUGCAGCAACGCCGCGUGGAGGAUGACGCAUUUCGGUGUGUAAACUCCUUUUAUAUGUCAAGAAAAUGACGGUAGCAUAUGAAUAAGCACCGGCUAACUCCGUGCCAGCAGCCGCGGUAAUACGGAGGGUGCAAGCGUUACUCGGAAUCACUGGGCGUAAAGGACGCGUAGGCGGGUUGGAAAGUCAGGUGUGAAAUCCUACAGCUUAACUGUAGAACUGCACUUGAAACUUCUAAUCUAGAGUAUGGGAGGGGGAGAUGGAAUUAGUGGUGUAGGAGUAAAAUCCGUAGAUAUCACUAGGAAUACCUAAAGCGAAGGCGAUCCCCUGGAACAUUACUGACGCUAAGGCGUGAAAGCGUGGGGAGCAAACAGGAUUAGAUACCCCGGUAGUC
RNAcentral lists this ribosomal RNA (439 nucleotides) under uncultured bacterium. RNAcentral describes it as "partial 16S ribosomal RNA". It matches the Rfam family "Bacterial small subunit ribosomal RNA", at positions 339 to 795 of the family's 1533-position model. The record is from RNAcentral.